UAAGAUGAGCAUCAUGAGAAGCGCAGUGCGAAAGUAACUUCUGCGUGUUGUUAUUCCCUUUUCUUUAUCGAUUUCUUCGCAAGGAAUUGCCACUUCUUCCAACUGGGAAGCCUCCUCCUCCUUCAUCGCUCAUCUCGACAACUCUUCUUCAAGCAAAAGCUUUCACCUCAAUCAAUGAGAUUUGCUGCAUGGCUUUAGAUUCCUGGGUUUAAAAAGGAGGGGAGGAUGCCCCAGACCGGAAUCCUAAACCGACUUGCUAGAUUCUUCUUUCUUUUCUUCACAAGUGGGACUUCGUUAUAUUUAUAUUUCAUAUACUAUACGGAGGUGACAGACAGAGGUGAAGAGCAACAAAACUUAGCACUACUAAAAGGGGUUUCUUCGAUAUCUGCAUGCGUCUUGUAGUUUGCAACAUGGAAUACAUUGGAUCCCUGUUCAUGUUAAUGCAUGCUUGGAUGGCUCUAACUUUGAUAUGGAUAAAAGCCAAGAGAAGAGAAUCUUUGCCUUGCCUACACUUUAAUAUUAUAAGAGUCUACUGUAGCCUAGAGCAACAUGUCAAUGACAUAAAGUCACUGAAAAAGGAAACAACAUGCAAGGCAUUAACUUCCCUUUUCUCUAGCUAUAUAUACAAUAUAAUAUGUGAUGUUGUUUCCCUUGAAAGUUAGCCGUUAGGAAGGAAAAUCAUAAUAAUGACUGAGUUGCAGUACUGAACUCACUUGCCAGAUUUAUCAUACAA
This is a long non-coding RNA of Populus nigra (black poplar), 733 nucleotides long. RefSeq lists it as uncharacterized. The transcript has 2 exons. Lineage: Eukaryota; Viridiplantae; Streptophyta; Magnoliopsida; Malpighiales; Salicaceae. The record is from RefSeq and is a predicted model, not a curated record.